GGGCUGGGGCUCAGUGGUAGAGCGCUUGCCUAGCAUGUGUGAGGCACUGGGUUUGAUUCUCAGCACCACG
This 70-nucleotide transfer RNA is filed under the name Marmota monax (woodchuck). RNAcentral's name for it is "tRNA.Ala". The record is from RNAcentral. Lineage: Eukaryota; Metazoa; Chordata; Mammalia; Rodentia; Sciuridae.